This 467-nucleotide ribosomal RNA is filed under the name uncultured bacterium. RNAcentral describes it as "partial 16S ribosomal RNA". It matches the Rfam family "Bacterial small subunit ribosomal RNA", at positions 28 to 506 of the family's 1533-position model. The record is from RNAcentral.
GACGAACGCUGGCGGCGUGCUUAACACAUGCAAGUCGAACGGAAAGGCCCUGCUUUUGUGGGGUGCUCGAGUGGCGAACGGGUGAGUAACACGUGAGUAACCUGCCCUUGACUUUGGGAUAACUUCAGGAAACUGGGGCUAAUACCGGAUAGGAGCUCCUGCUGCAUGGUGGGGGUUGGAAAGUUUCGGCGGUUGGGGAUGGACUCGCGGCUUAUCAGCUUGUUGGUGGGGUAGUGGCUUACCAAGGCUUUGACGGGUAGCCGGCCUGAGAGGGUGACCGGCCACAUUGGGACUGAGAUACGGCCCAGACUCCUACGGGAGGCAGGAGUGGGGAAUAUUGCACAAUGGGCGGAAGCCUGAUGCAGCAACGCCGCGUGCGGGAGGACGGCCUUCGGGUGGUAAACCGCUUUCGCCUGUGACGAAGCGUGAGUGACGGUAAUGGGUAAAGAAGCACCGGCUAACUACGU